This 481-nucleotide ribosomal RNA is filed under the name uncultured bacterium. RNAcentral's name for it is "partial 16S ribosomal RNA". It matches the Rfam family "Bacterial small subunit ribosomal RNA", at positions 28 to 507 of the family's 1533-position model. The record is from RNAcentral.
GACGAACGUUGGCGGCGUGCUUAAUACAUGCAAGUCAACUGAAGCAGUGGUAGCAAUAUCGCUGUGGAGGUGGCGCACGGGUGAGUAACACGUAGGUAAUCUGCCUUCAGGUCUGGCAUAACUCCGGGAAACCGGGGCUAAUAGCAGAUGAUGCAGCGGCUCGACAUCGAGACAGUUGUUAAAGCUAUGGCGCCUGAAGAUGAGCCUGCGUCUGAUUAGCUAGUUGGCGGGGUAACGGCCCACCAAGGCAACGAUCAGUAGCUGGUCUGAGAGGAUGAUCAGCCACACUGGAACUGAGACACGGUCCAGACUCCUACGGGAGGCAGCAGUAAGGAAUAUUGCUCAAUGGGAGAAAUCCUGAAGCAGCAACGCCGCGUGAGGAACGAAGGGCUUUGGCUUGUAAACCUCUGUAGUGAGAGAAAAAAAUCCCAAUCUUUGGGACAUGAUGGUAUCUCAAAAGUAAGCCCCGGCUAACUACGUG